This is an RNA transcript of Carlito syrichta (Philippine tarsier), 737 nucleotides long. It is a transcript of the gene named SH3 domain-binding glutamic acid-rich-like protein 3 pseudogene, with no coding region annotated. Lineage: Eukaryota; Metazoa; Chordata; Mammalia; Primates; Tarsiidae. The transcript has a single exon. The record is from RefSeq and is a predicted model, not a curated record.
CUCCCGGCAGUGCAGCUGCCGCUACCGCCGCCCCUCCGUCCGUCAGCUUGCCCGUCUACCCGCAGCAUGAGCAGCCUGCGCGUCUACAGCACGUCGGUCACCCACUCCCGCGAAAUCAAGUCACAGCAGAGCGAGGUGACCCGCAUCCUGGAUGGGACACGCAUCCAAUACCAACUAGUGGACAUCUCCCAGGACAACGCCCUGCCGGAUGAGAUGCGAGUCUUGGCGGGCAACCCCAAGGCCACCCCACCCCAGAUUGUCAACGGACACCAUUGCUGUGGGGACUAUGAGCUCUUCGUGGAAGCUGUGGAGCAGAACACACUGCAGGAGUUCCUGAAGCUGGCCUGAGUCGAGGCAGCCCACGGUUCUCCCGCUCGACUCCAUCACCACACUCUCCUCUCCCCCGGCCAUGAAGGACCUUGUGACCAACUCCCUGUCAUUCCUAGCCUUCUGACCUUGGAGUCCCUACCCCAAGCCCAGGCCCCUUCUCCUGCCCCCUCUCACUGUUGCUCCCUCUCCUCUAUUCAAAGGCAACAUUCCUGACUGACUAGUCGCAGAAAUUGUCUUAAGCAGCAGCUCCAAAUGUUGGCUGUCCCCAGCCAGGUCUUGGGGUUGCCACCCUGCCAGGCGCUGGCUGAUGGGCACCUCUGUUGGUUCCAUUAGCCAGAGCUCUGCCAAAGGCCCCGCAAUCCCCCUUCCAGGAGCACCUAGAGACAAUUAAAUGCCCUUUUCCACUG